Mus pahari (shrew mouse) is the source of this 157-nucleotide small nuclear RNA. RefSeq annotates it as U1 spliceosomal RNA. NCBI's taxonomy places the organism in Eukaryota, Metazoa, Chordata, Mammalia, Rodentia, Muridae. The record is from RefSeq and is a predicted model, not a curated record. The transcript has a single exon.
GCACUUACCCAGGAGGGGGUAGCCAGUGACCAAGGAGAUGGUUUUCCUAGGGCGAGGCUCCAUCAUUAUACUUGGGGUUUGCUGACCCCUGUGGCCACCCUGAAUUCAGGACCUUACACUUAGUGGUAGAGAGGGACUGCAUUUGUGUUCUUCCCUG